Molecule: long non-coding RNA, 1054 nt
Organism: Fundulus heteroclitus (mummichog)
Lineage: Eukaryota; Metazoa; Chordata; Actinopteri; Cyprinodontiformes; Fundulidae
Exons: 3
Source: RefSeq, a predicted model, not a curated record
AGAGAGACGUGAUAACACAGCUAACAGCAUCAGCACCCCACAGAAUUAAACGUCUUUGGAGACGUGUGGUGCGCAGGAACUAACAUACACAACAAUGUGCUGCACUCAGGAGAGGACAACAAUUCGCUUGACCUGUCAAACAUGUUAGAUAACUUCUGUUGUCACCAUUUAUUUGUCCCAAGACUACAACUAAGUUUUCACACCAUCAGCAGUGGCUGAGAUGACCAUUCACUCAGAACUGAGGGGAAUCUGACACUCAGUCAGUUAUGGAAGAUGGGAAGCAUCCAGCAUGCUGUGGUAGAACCAGAAAUCACAGAGGGACUCUGCCUGCCUCAUAUUGACUGGGACAACAGUGGACUGCUGGAUGACCCACACUGUGGGGUCACUAUUUCUGAAACUGGCAAUGUGUUGAGCCCUGAACAACUUGGUAGCACUGAGGGCAGCCAUGGAUGCACUGGGACAUUCUGAAUCGCACGGCUCAGAAUAUAUAUAUAUAUAUAUAUAUAUAUAUAUAUAUAUAUAUAUAUAUAUAUAUAUAUAUGUGUUGCUACUCUCCAGUAUGACCAACACUUUACGGGUUUAAUCUUAUUGUGGUUACCAUUGUUGCAAAAGGUUUUUAAGUAGUAAAAUCUAGCCAGGGAAAUGUAACUAAGUUAGUGCAUUCACUGAAUAAAAGUGUAGAACUGCUGGGAUUAUGAUGGUAAAUGUGUAUGGUACUGUAUAAACAUUUUGAAAAUGCUGAGGUUAUUGGAAAAAAGGGCACAUGGAGCUGUUAAUAAACCUGAGGAUGCAAACAGUGUGGGAAAAUUAAACAGUCCUUUAUUUUCCACAUUGCAUAAUAAACAUACCCUUUCAUAAAGUCUUCAUUUCCAAUUCUUACCAAUAUCAAUCAAAGUGAAUACACCUUUCCACAAGGAUUGCUUUUAUUGUUGAAAUCAAGACUGAAAGAACUCCAUUAAUUCUCCAGGUUUUUCCCAGUAAACAAUCCAUGUAUUACCAUAAAGCGGGCUGUAUAAAACAAACUGGCUGAUGAAAUGGAUGAAGCCAAAAACAG